Molecule: ribosomal RNA, 426 nt
Filed under: uncultured bacterium
Lineage: Bacteria
Description: bacterial SSU rRNA
Rfam family: Bacterial small subunit ribosomal RNA
Source: RNAcentral
GUGAGGAAUAUUGGUCAAUGGGCGCAAGCCUGAACCAGCCACGUCGCGUGAGGGAAGACGGUCCUAAGGAUUGUAAACCUCUUUUGUACGGGAAUAAAAUACCCACGAGCUGGGGAAUUGCAUGUACCGUACGAAUAAGCAUCGGCUAACUCCGUGCCAGCAGCCGCGGUAAUACGGAGGAUGCGAGCGUUAUCCGGAUUUAUUGGGUUUAAAGGGUGCGUAGGUUGUUUUGUAAGUCAGUGGUGAAACCCCGUGGCUCAACCCCGGGCAUGCCAUUGAAACUGCAGGACUUGAGAAUGGACGAGGCAGGCGGAAUGUGUGGUGUAGCGGUGAAAUGCAUAGAUAUCACACAGAACACCGAUUGCGAAGGCAGCUUGCCAGACCAUGUCUGACACUGAAGCACGAAAGCGUGGGUAUCGAACAGGA